CCCCUGUGGUCUUCCCAGGGACCCCGUGAGAGUGCUGAUGUAGCUUUGAUGCUCAUGUGGCCAUUCUGGAGCUGUGUCCACAGUGAGGGCACGAGGAUGGGGGUGCCCUGAAUGUGGGAUUCACGGAUCAGCACAGGUGGCCUUGUGAGGUCCUGUGCCAGCCCGGGUUGAGCUCCUUUGGAGACACUUUCUUGGGUAACUUGUACAUGUUCUGAGCAAAUUCCUUUCCUUCCACUCACUAGGUGGCACCACGAAGCAAUCGAUGACUUCCGACUCCAUCACACGGUUCCCAGCAGCAUCCGGAUAACUCAGGCUGUGCCCUGCUGUGCUGCUCCUUAGAGCUGUCCGUGAUGUGAAGACACAGUGAUGAGUAGGUUUGCAUUUCCCACCCUCCUUUAAGUUCGAUGUGACCAUCUGACUUGCUUUGGACAACAAAAUAUGAGCAGAAGAGAUGCAAGUGGCUCCCGGGCAGAAGCAUUUAAGGAUCUGGGCCGUCACUACGCACUGUUGAUUCCACUCACUAAGCGCGCCUUGGCACUAGCAUCCUCCUCACCUUAGCGCAGCGCCUGCCCUUCUCCACGCCGCUGGCUCUGCUCAACUGGCAGAAUUGCUCAGGCUCCGCCGCUGGCCACCCGAG
Molecule: long non-coding RNA, 637 nt
Filed under: Equus caballus (horse)
Lineage: Eukaryota; Metazoa; Chordata; Mammalia; Perissodactyla; Equidae
Description: lncRNA (ENSECAG00000055069.1)
Source: RNAcentral